GGGUUGUGAGGUUAAGCGACUAAGCGUACACGGUGGAUGCCCUGGCAGUCAGAGGCGAUGAAGGACGUGCUAAUCUGCGAUAAGCGUCGGUAAGGUGAUAUGAACCGUUAUAACCGGCGAUUUCCGAAUGGGGAAACCCAGUGUGAUUCGUCACACUAUCAUUAACUGAAUCCAUAGGUUAAUGAGGCGAACCGGGGGAACUGAAACAUCUAAGUACCCCGAGGAAAAGAAAUCAACCGAGAUUCCCCCAGUAGCGGCGAGCGAACGGGGAGCAGCCCAGAGCCUGAAUCAGUGUGUGUGUUAGUGGAAGCGUCUGGAAAGGCGUGCGAUACAGGGUGACAGCCCCGUACACAAAAAUGCACAUACUGUGAGCUCGAUGAGUAGGGCGGGACACGUGGUAUCCUGUCUGAAUAUGGGGGGACCAUCCUCCAAGGCUAAAUACUCCUGACUGACCGAUAGUGAACCAGUACCGUGAGGGAAAGGCGAAAAGAACCCCGGCGAGGGGAGUGAAAAAGAACCUGAAACCGUGUACGUACAAGCAGUGGGAGCCUCUUAAUGGGGUGACUGCGUACCUUUUGUAUAAUGGGUCAGCGACUUAUAUUCUGUAGCAAGGUUAACCGAAUAGGGGAGCCGAAGGGAAACCGAGUCUUAACUGGGCGUUAAGUUGCAGGGUAUAGACCCGAAACCCGGUGAUCUAGCCAUGGGCAGGUUGAAGGUUGGGUAACACUAACUGGAGGACCGAACCGACUAAUGUUGAAAAAUUAGCGGAUGACUUGUGGCUGGGGGUGAAAGGCCAAUCAAACCGGGAGAUAGCUGGUUCUCCCCGAAAGCUAUUUAGGUAGCGCCUCGUGAAUUCAUCUCCGGGGGUAGAGCACUGUUUCGGCAAGGGGGUCAUCCCGACUUACCAACCCGAUGCAAACUGCGAAUACCGGAGAAUGUUAUCACGGGAGACACACGGCGGGUGCUAACGUCCGUCGUGAAGAGGGAAACAACCCAGACCGCCAGCUAAGGUCCCAAAGUCAUGGUUAAGUGGGAAACGAUGUGGGAAGGCCCAGACAGCCAGGAUGUUGGCUUAGAAGCAGCCAUCAUUUAAAGAAAGCGUAAUAGCUCACUGGUCGAGUCGGCCUGCGCGGAAGAUGUAACGGGGCUAAACCAUGCACCGAAGCUGCGGCAGCGACACUAUGUGUUGUUGGGUAGGGGAGCGUUCUGUAAGCCUGUGAAGGUGUACUGUGAGGUAUGCUGGAGGUAUCAGAAGUGCGAAUGCUGACAUAAGUAACGAUAAAGCGGGUGAAAAGCCCGCUCGCCGGAAGACCAAGGGUUCCUGUCCAACGUUAAUCGGGGCAGGGUGAGUCGACCCCUAAGGCGAGGCCGAAAGGCGUAGUCGAUGGGAAACAGGUUAAUAUUCCUGUACUUGGUGUUACUGCGAAGGGGGGACGGAGAAGGCUAUGUUGGCCGGGCGACGGUUGUCCCGGUUUAAGCGUGUAGGCUGGUUUUCCAGGCAAAUCCGGAAAAUCAAGGCUGAGGCGUGAUGACGAGGCACUACGGUGCUGAAGCAACAAAUGCCCUGCUUCCAGGAAAAGCCUCUAAGCAUCAGGUAACAUCAAAUCGUACCCCAAACCGACACAGGUGGUCAGGUAGAGAAUACCAAGGCGCUUGAGAGAACUCGGGUGAAGGAACUAGGCAAAAUGGUGCCGUAACUUCGGGAGAAGGCACGCUGAUAUGUAGGUGAAGUCCCUCGCGGAUGGAGCUGAAAUCAGUCGAAGAUACCAGCUGGCUGCAACUGUUUAUUAAAAACACAGCACUGUGCAAACACGAAAGUGGACGUAUACGGUGUGACGCCUGCCCGGUGCCGGAAGGUUAAUUGAUGGGGUUAGCGGUAACGCGAAGCUCUUGAUCGAAGCCCCGGUAAACGGCGGCCGUAACUAUAACGGUCCUAAGGUAGCGAAAUUCCUUGUCGGGUAAGUUCCGACCUGCACGAAUGGCGUAAUGAUGGCCAGGCUGUCUCCACCCGAGACUCAGUGAAAUUGAACUCGCUGUGAAGAUGCAGUGUACCCGCGGCAAGACGGAAAGACCCCGUGAACCUUUACUAUAGCUUGACACUGAACAUUGAGCCUUGAUGUGUAGGAUAGGUGGGAGGCUUUGAAGUGUGGACGCCAGUCUGCAUGGAGCCGGCCUUGAAAUACCACCCUUUAAUGUUUGAUGUUCUAACGUUGGCCCCUGA
This 2221-nucleotide ribosomal RNA is filed under the name Escherichia coli. RNAcentral's name for it is "bacterial LSU rRNA". It matches the Rfam family "Bacterial large subunit ribosomal RNA", at positions 1 to 2238 of the family's 2925-position model. The record is from RNAcentral. Lineage: Bacteria; Pseudomonadati; Pseudomonadota; Gammaproteobacteria; Enterobacterales; Enterobacteriaceae.